RNAcentral lists this microRNA precursor (84 nucleotides) under Bombyx mori (domestic silkworm). RNAcentral describes it as "mir-2807 microRNA precursor family". It matches the Rfam family "mir-2807 microRNA precursor family". The record is from Rfam by way of RNAcentral. Lineage: Eukaryota; Metazoa; Arthropoda; Insecta; Lepidoptera; Bombycidae.
UUAGCUCAUAUUUGUAUGCAAUGGGAUCGUUUGCCUACGUUUGCCGCUAGGGGCGCUGUUCCAACUGCAUACAAAAUUGGGUUA